This 57-nucleotide transfer RNA is filed under the name Bos taurus (domestic cattle). It matches the Rfam family "tRNA", at positions 8 to 63 of the family's 71-position model. From Rfam's summary of the family: Transfer RNA (tRNA) molecules are approximately 80 nucleotides in length. Their secondary structure includes four short double-helical elements and three loops (D, anti-codon, and T loops). Further hydrogen bonds mediate the characteristic L-shaped molecular structure. tRNAs have two regions of fundamental functional importance: the anti-codon, which is responsible for specific mRNA codon recognition, and the 3' end, to which the tRNAs corresponding amino acid is attached (by aminoacyl-tRNA synthetases). tRNAs cope with the degeneracy of the genetic code in two manners: having more than one tRNA (with a specific anti-codon) for a particular amino acid; and 'wobble' base-pairing, i.e. permitting non-standard base-pairing at the 3rd anti-codon position. RNAcentral also lists the same sequence under 1 other name. The record is from Rfam by way of RNAcentral. Lineage: Eukaryota; Metazoa; Chordata; Mammalia; Artiodactyla; Bovidae.
UAGCUCAGAUGGUAAAGCGUCUGCUUACAAUGUGGAAGACCCAGGUUCAAUCCCUGG